AUUGAACGCUGGCGGCAUGCCUUACACAUGCAAGUCGAACGGCAGCACGGGUGCUUGCACCUGGUGGCGAGUGGCGAACGGGUGAGUAAUACAUCGGAACAUGUCCUGUAGUGGGGGAUAGCCCGGCGAAAGCCGGAUUAAUACCGCAUACGAUCUACGGAUGAAAGCGGGGGACCUUCGGGCCUCGCGCUAUAGGGUUGGCCGAUGGCUGAUUAGCUGGUUGGUGGGGUAAAGGCCUACCAAGGCGACGAUCAGUAGCUGGUCUGAGUGGACGACCAGCCACACUGUGACUGAGACACGGCCCAGACUCCUACGGGAGGCAGCAGUGGGGAAUUUUGGACAAUGGGCGAAAGCCUGAUCCAGCAAUGCCGCGUGUGUGAAGAAGGCCUUCGGGUUGUAAAGCACUUUUGUCCGGAAAGAAAUCCUUGGCCCUAAUACGGUCGGGGGAUGACGGUACCGGAUGAAUAAGCACCGGCUAACUACGUG
Molecule: ribosomal RNA, 486 nt
Filed under: uncultured bacterium
Lineage: Bacteria
Description: partial 16S ribosomal RNA
Rfam family: Bacterial small subunit ribosomal RNA
Source: RNAcentral